UGGCCUGACCAGCUGCUUUCCCACUCACAGAGUCACAGCCAUUUUCUAGGGGGCCUGAUGGGGCAGGCAGUGGCUCUCAUAGUGGGUCACAUGGGUGGCCAGAACUCAAGGCUCCUAGGAGAACCCUAAGGGAACAGAGUAUGUGCUGCUUCUGAACCCAAGUUGGUUGGGACCAUAGGCCCCAUGAGCUGCCAUCCCUUUAGGACAUGUAGGCACAUCCAGGGAAUCUAGAGGAGUAGAGUGGCCUCUGCCACCCACUAGGGGCUGGGAGAGAUGGGCAUGUGUCCUGGGAAGAAGCUGCAGCUCUCACGCCAGUGGCUGUCUCUGCCUCAGGCUCCCUUUCCUGAAGCGUGGCUCAAGGCGCACUGGCAGGGCCGCUCCAUGCUGGCAGCGAGUAAGUGGACCGCAGCUCCUCCCAUGCCUGCGCUCCCGCCCAUCCGAGCCCAGCCCCUCAGGCAGUGGGGACACCCUUGGGCCCACUCCACCGCGGCUAUGGUGCCAAUGUUGUCUGGCCCAGGUUGGGAAGGGCUGGUUCCUCUCUGGUGUGGGUCUGCUCAGUCAAACAAGACAUUCAGGCUUGCUAUUUGUUGGCGUCCCCUCCAGACAUGCGCCGGGAUGUACAGGAGAUCUUUCGUCUGACACCCCAUGAGAAGCAAUGUAUGAUGUUCAGCGCCACCCUGAGCAAGGAGAUCCGGCCAGUCUGCAGGAAGUUCAUGCAGGAUGUGAGUAGGGUGACGCCCCAGCUGGCUGCCUGCCUGCCCACCGUGGCCAACACCUCAGCGCAGCAGCUUUGGCCUU
RNAcentral lists this long non-coding RNA (798 nucleotides) under Rattus norvegicus (Norway rat). Its description in RNAcentral is "long non-coding RNA NONRATT014116". Lineage: Eukaryota; Metazoa; Chordata; Mammalia; Rodentia; Muridae. The record is from RNAcentral.